UGGGGAAUAUUGUGCAAUGGGGGAAACCCUGACACAGCGACGCCGCGUGAGUGAAGAAGGCCUUCGGGUCGUAAAGCUCAAUAGUAUGGGAAGAUAGUGACGGUACCAUACGAAAGCCCCGGCUAACUACGUGCCAGCAGCCGCGGUAAUACGUAGGGGGCGAGCGUUGUCCGGAAUUACUGGGCGUAAAGAGCACGUAGGCGGCUAUAAAAGUCAGAUGUGAAAAACCUGGGCUCAACCGAGGGUAUGCAUCUGAAACUAAAUAGCUUGAGUCAAGGAGAGGAGAGCAGAAUUCCUAGUGUAGCGGUGAAAUGCGUAGAGAUCAGGAAGAAUACCAGUGGCGAAAGCGGCUCUCUGGACUUGAACUGACGCUGAGGUGCGAAAGCGUGGGGAGCAAACAGG
This 402-nucleotide ribosomal RNA is filed under the name Bacillota bacterium. RNAcentral describes it as "Firmicutes bacterium partial 16S ribosomal RNA". It matches the Rfam family "Bacterial small subunit ribosomal RNA", at positions 355 to 776 of the family's 1533-position model. The record is from RNAcentral. Lineage: Bacteria; Bacillati; Bacillota.